Long non-coding RNA from Syngnathus typhle (broad-nosed pipefish), 559 nucleotides. RefSeq lists it as uncharacterized. Lineage: Eukaryota; Metazoa; Chordata; Actinopteri; Syngnathiformes; Syngnathidae. The transcript is spliced from 2 exons. The record is from RefSeq and is a predicted model, not a curated record.
CACCCAGCUGAGGAGCUAGCACAAGUUUAGAAUGAGCCUGUCACUGAGGGACAUCUUCAUGCACCUGUCGUAAGGAUGAGCUCGCCUACGCCACAAAAAACACACAUCUCAUCAUACACGAGAUAAAUACCAUACAAGAUGGUACCACUGGACACGGACAAAACCACGAACGAGAGGCCGACUGUCACACAGGGCUCGUCCACCUCCACCGCCGCCUUUUCCUCCUCCUCCUCCAUCACCACCACCACCAUCUCUCCCUCCGCCAUCAUCAAGGUCCGAGUCGGAGUUGAAUUCCUCCUCGCCGUGAAUCAUUCGUACGAGGCCAAACCGGAGGGACCCUCUAUACUUCCUGGAGACCAAGUCGUGGGAGAAGAGAAGCCGCUGAGACCCGUCGGCCGUGGGAGACAGGGCCAUGGAUAGCGGCUCGGAGCACGGACUUGCCGCGGGGGAAAGGCCCGGGGUCGGGGAUGGAGGCUGGGCUGUGUCCGUCGAAUCGUGUGCUGCGGGCUCCGCCAUCGCUGCUGUUGUCAGGGAGUGAUGCUGGAGCGCUCAGACGACA